AGGACAAACGAGCGUACGGGUCACCUGUUGUUAAGUGAUCACCGCCGCCCACAAUCUCUUGCAACACCAGAGGAAUCACAUGAGCGUUGCCGGCCUUUAAGGAAGGUGUACGCGCUUUUAUUAAGGUUAUUGAAAUGUCAGUAAGCUUAAAGGAUAGAUUUGUCUACCUCUAGUGAGUUAAACUAAGGAUAGAUAUGUUAUUGGAAACGGCCGUAGGUAAACAAUGAGUUGCACCAUUUGACAAUUUUAGAUGACGUCAUAGCUUUAACUGUUAACCGUAACAGUCCAAUCUUCGCCGCUUAAAGCUAUAGUUAAUGUUAAAUAGCUAAAGAGCGACCUGUCAAAAGUUUCUAAUAACGAUUCGAUUAUGACUUGAUAUUUCACUUUUUAACUUGAACUUUGCCAAUGCAUAUUCAUUCAUGUCACAACGCAUUCCACAGUCUAAGUAAAAGUCAGUGUAACAGUUAACGUUAAAUUUGACUACUAACUAUAACAACUAAUAUGAUGCAACCCAACCUAAGACAUUAACUGCAAUCUACAUGGAUUACAGUAUUAAUGGUUGACACUCCCAAAAUAUAUUUUUAUAUUAAACACGAAAGUGUGUUAGAUAAAUGUGUAUAGUGUAAUUUACACUGAUUUGUUUUGAAUGAUCUUAUCAGGAACCAAUAUUAUAUUGUGUAAUAUAGUUACAUUUAAGUAUAGCAUAUUAGUGAGUACCCGUCUUAACAAAUUAAUAUAAUUACAGAAACAUAUUCAUCGUAUAAUAACCGUUAUAAUAUUAUUACUUAAUAUAAUAUAAAAAAUAUUUGCUUCCAUUAGUUUUAAUGUCAGUAGUCAUCAAGGCUUUAGGAGUGACACAUUAAAUAAAAUUAUGAAGUAUUUAUAUACAUAUUAAUAUUCACCCACGGACGAGUAAAAUAAGAAGGACUCCGUGUCACCUUGCAUAACAGUGUAGCACCAAAACAAGCCGAUUAACGUGUAAAUACAUAGCCCCACGCACACACUUACACUACUACAGGCCGAUAGGCGGCCAUUAUGAGAAUUAUUGUCAUCGUCUGUGACAGAUCAGUUUGCGUCUCAAUAAAAUAUUUUAAACAUGCCGUCGUGCGUUGUGAAAAAGUGUAAAAACGAUACUAUAUAAGUAUUUGUGGCCAUAUAUGAUUAUUUAAGGGAGAAAAAAUUGUGUAACUGGUAUACCCCGUAACCGCACACACACUAGCAUAACGGUGCUUCACUUGCUAAUAUCACGGCGCGGAGUCCUUCUUUUUUUACUCGUCCGUGACAUAGACCUACAUUUUAUCUCAAAAAUUCUAUAAUUAGUUGAUUGGUAGCCGAUGGUUUGUGUUCCCUUUUUAUCUUUUGUUUUGCUUUGGUGGAGGUGACAUCCUUAAAUAUGCUUUGAAAAGUAUAAUAUAAAAGUACUUUAUUCCGAAGUCACUGCGAUUUUUUAUGUAUUUAGUUAGUAUAUAAAUUUAUUAAGUAUGACAAAUACCUGCUGAAAUUAAAAAUAUGUAUUAUUUAAAAGAGUUAUCAUACUACCCUCACUAUUAUAUACAAAUAUUAAAGUAGUCUCAAAUUAAGCCAUAAAACUGGUCAUUAUUAGUUGAAAAGACAUAAUGUAAUUAUGUAAAUACACAAUAAUAUUAUUUAUGUAUUUGAUAUUUUAUGAAUUGGUGUUAUUUAGUAUUUAACAUGUGUAAGUAAUGAUAUGUUAUAUUGAAUCAGGGUCCAAUUUUUUAUGAAAUAUACUCCUAGCCUAUAUUUAAGUGGAAAAGCCGUGUUAAUUUUGUAUGCAUAUGUUUUUUAUAGCUAGAUUGAAAUAUAUUUUUUUUCUAUAUUUUAA
Leptidea sinapis is the source of this 1843-nucleotide long non-coding RNA. RefSeq lists it as uncharacterized. The record is from RefSeq and is a predicted model, not a curated record. NCBI's taxonomy places the organism in Eukaryota, Metazoa, Arthropoda, Insecta, Lepidoptera, Pieridae. The transcript is spliced from 2 exons.